GGUGCCGGUUCGUAAGUCCUACUGGUGGCUGAGUUAUCCGGCAUGUGUUGCAGAUACUCGUCAGCUUGUGUGAGUAGCAUUGUGUAGCUUCGUCAUGACCGUCAGCUUGUGUGAGUAGACCCAUUAUAGCUUUAGUGUGAGCAUUAUAUGUGAUACGAGAUUGAGAUAGCUUUGGCUAUAUCUGUGACACUUAGAGUGCGAGAUUCCUGAGUAUUCGAUAGUAUUCCGAAUGGUUCAACGGGUAAAUCAAUGAUGUGGAUGAGUAUGUAUUUGAUACAAGAUGGGACAGGUAUGUACAUAAACCGUACAAGC
This 312-nucleotide long non-coding RNA is filed under the name Gossypium barbadense (sea-island cotton). RNAcentral's name for it is "long non-coding RNA (GBAR_LNC004614)". The record is from RNAcentral. Lineage: Eukaryota; Viridiplantae; Streptophyta; Magnoliopsida; Malvales; Malvaceae.